AAGCUUCCCAAAGAUGCCAGCAAGGUGCUAACAGAUAGUGAAGAUAUGAAUGACAUCAUGACAGACAGGAAACGAUAUAAGCGUCGGAAGAGGCGUUAUGGCCGGCGAAGAGACAGCAAGGGCUCUGAGGCAGCUCAAGACAAAAGAGACACUAUAGAGGAUAAAACCAAAUCAACUGUCUUGAAUAGCCCAAUACUUCCUCUGGAAAAAUCAAAGAAUGUGAAGGACCAUGGCAAAGAGAAGCCAAAUAACAGCAAUAAAGACAAAGUCCUAGAAUUUGAGAGAAAUAAGCUCAGAGAGCAGCUUACCUUGGGUCUUCAUCCGAAAGACUCAUCUACCGAGCUGGAACUUAGCGGAGAGAGUGAUAACAAUGAUGUCCAUUCAAAGUCAGGGAAGACCAGGACUGAUAUGAAAAGCCAAGAGAUCCCAGAGAAUGAUGCUUUUGAGAAAAAACAAGUAUUGCAAAAAAAGCUGGAUGCUAUGAUGGAGGUGUUGAAUACAUCAGAUGAGGUGGAGCUGGUGCUGAGAAAUACAGGCAUGACAGAUGAACUGCUAAUGAGUUUUGUGCCAGCAUUGAAGAACAGCCUAUCUGAGGUCACAUUGGUCAACCUCAAUCUUAACCAUAUCGGACCUCCAGGAGUUCAUUUACUACUAGACCUUCUACAGGCCAAAUCAGAGAUCAAGGGACUACUGCUGUUUGGAAAUCAUCUAGGUGAUAUUGGUGUUCAGAUCCUGCUUAGUGGAGUUGCUGAUCUUCAAGAGAAAACAGCAGCAUCACCACGAAUGCCAGCAUAUCCAAGACAAUUCUACCUUACUGAGCCAAGCUUCACACUCAUAGAGUUGGACUUGGGUGGAAAUGGAAUUGGCAGUGAGGGACUGAGAGUAUUAGGCACCUUCAUAAGGUAUCACUCCCAGCUGCAAUAUCUGGGGCUGGCCCAAACAUGUUGCUCUAGCAUGGAGGCCUGGUACAUCUUUUUUGAAAGUCUGACGGUAAACAAUAAACUAACCCACAUCAUUCUAGAUGAGAACAACCUGGGAGACCAAGGAGUCAAACUAUUUGCUGAGGCUCUGCAAAUUAACGAAGGCUUGCGGAAAAUAGACUUGGACCGUAAUAAUUUUGGUGAGGUUGGAGGAAAUGCUCUCAUCGAUGCACUCUCCAG
This is a long non-coding RNA of Ictalurus punctatus (channel catfish), 1160 nucleotides long. Lineage: Eukaryota; Metazoa; Chordata; Actinopteri; Siluriformes; Ictaluridae. The record is from Ensembl.